Molecule: non-coding RNA, 92 nt
Organism: Mycena rebaudengoi
Lineage: Eukaryota; Fungi; Basidiomycota; Agaricomycetes; Agaricales; Mycenaceae
Source: the annotation of a GenBank genome assembly
GGCUUGUUAGCGUAGUGGGAAGCGCGUCCGCUCAAUUUUACUGUGAAAUCUGUACAUUUGCGGGAGGCCCAGUUCGAAUCCGAGAUAGGUCA